AUAUUGCACAAUGGGGGAAACCCUGAUGCAGCAACGCCGCGUGAGGGAAGACGGUUUUCGGAUUGUAAACCUCUGUCCUUAGUGACGAUAAUGACGGUAGCUAAGGAGGAAGCCACGGCUAACUACGUGCCAGCAGCCGCGGUAAUACGUAGGUGGCAAGCGUUGUCCGGAAUUACUGGGUGUAAAGGGAGCGUAGGCGGGAAGGCAAGUCAGAUGUGAAAUCCACAGGCUUAACCUGUGGCGUGCAUUUGAAACUGUUUUUCUUGAGUGAAGUAGAGGCAGGCGGAAGUCCGAGUGUAGCGGUGAAAUGCGUAGAUAUUCGGAGGAACACCAGUGGCGAAGGCGGCCUGCUGGGCUUUUACUGACGCUGAGGCUCGAAAGCAUGGGUAGCAAACAG
This 397-nucleotide ribosomal RNA is filed under the name uncultured bacterium. RNAcentral describes it as "bacterial SSU rRNA". It matches the Rfam family "Bacterial small subunit ribosomal RNA", at positions 361 to 775 of the family's 1533-position model. The record is from RNAcentral.